Long non-coding RNA from Equus caballus (horse), 1701 nucleotides. NCBI's taxonomy places the organism in Eukaryota, Metazoa, Chordata, Mammalia, Perissodactyla, Equidae. The record is from Ensembl.
CACACACGCUGGUCUGGGUUCAGAUCAGUUCUGUUCUCUGGUCUCCCGAGGCCCUUGGUUUAUGGGGUCCCCACGGAUGGAAGCUUUCCCCCCCUCAGCGGGUUUCCACUGAACCAGCAGCAGGAGUCCUGGAUGAUCCCCGGUUGUGCGGCCCCUCCCCCGCUCCUUCCCGACCUGCGCCGCAGCCAUCGCAGACUUUAGGGGAGGGAGAGACGUUCUCUCCCACCGUUCCAGCGCCUCCAAGGCUGACUUGAGAGCCACAGAACACGUCUCAUUUAUCUUCCUCUCUCCAGUACUAAUUUAGUGGUCAAUAGAACGGAUGUUCAUUGGGUGGAUUCUUCUUAACAAGCAAGUGGUGCAGUAUCACACCGAGAAGAUAUGCGGACUGAGCACAGCUUUUUGAUAACCUUUCAUCCAUCGAGAUUUUUCUUUCGAAAAGAAUCUCUUUAUUAUAAAACAGAUGCCACUUAACUUCUUUCAAGAAGGUUGGUCCUGACCUAACAUCUGCGCCAGUCUUCCUCUAUUGUGGGAUGCCAACACAACAUGGCUGGUUGAGCAGUACUAGGUCCGCACCCAGGAUCUGGGCCCACAAAUCACAGGCCGCCAUAGCAGAGCAUGUAAAAUCAACCACUCCACCACCAGGCCAGCCUCUGUAAUGGCAUGUUUUAAUAGCUAACAGUUGUGGUGGUAAUUUUUCCCCCAUCCCAGAUUUCUUUUCCUGUUUCACUACUUUUUUCCCUUAGGCAUUAGAAGACAGAAACUUGGGAAUACAAGGAGUAUCUAUCAAAGAAGGUGACUUUGGAGAUCACUGGGAAAGUAGGAACAUGCAUAUUUAAGGCCAUGGACUCAGAAAAUAGGCGCACAAUAGGGAAAGACAAGAAAUGAGAUUUAGCCAUAACUUUACACCUGUGUAUAUUUUUCAAGCACAUUUCUAAACACACAUAGCAGAACUUUUCAUAUUUCCAAGGGUUUAUAUGCAACCAAUUUUUCCCUGAUUCUGUUUAAGGUAAAAGAAAGACUGGAUUAGAUUCUUGUCCCAGUUCUCCCACCAGAUAGCUGUGUAAGUUUUGACAGGUAAUUAAACCUUCCUGACCCUCAGGUUACUUAGGCUCAAUUCAACCUGAUGAAUAUAAAUUGUCCUCACAUUAGGUUCCAGUCCUUGUGUUCAAUCCUGGGAGCCCGAAAUGAGAAUUAUCUCUACUUGUGUUACUGCAACUCUCAAUUCCAGUCUCACCCAACUCAAUAAUUUCUGAAUUGUCCACACUGCUCCAAAGUGACCUCUUUAUAAUGGAUAUCUUCUCAAAGGUUUUUAAAUGCUUCAAUAACACCUUGUGGCCCUCAAUAAAAGUCUUUAAUGCCCUAGAAAUGUAUACUUGACCCUUUAUGGUCAAUCCCUCUUUGCCUUUCUUUAUUCAUUUUUCAGCUCUACUCACUAAGCCUCAUCUGUAAUAAUCCACAUGCUGACUCUGCAAUACUCUCUCUGUUUUCUUUUUCCCUUUGUAGUAUGUGUAUUUCUUUCCACCUAAAACAACACCCUUUCUUCUGUUUAACGCUAACGUCUGUUAAUCCUUCGUAUCUCAGUUCGUAAGUCUCUCUUCCUUCAGACGUAAGCCUCCUCUGAUCUGCCUACAUAUUGUGGAACUUAUCAAGCAGUGUUGUAAAUCUCUUUAUGGAUCAGCUCACCAACUGUAUUAGAGAUCA